RNAcentral lists this ribosomal RNA (253 nucleotides) under uncultured bacterium. Its description in RNAcentral is "partial 16S ribosomal RNA". It matches the Rfam family "Bacterial small subunit ribosomal RNA", at positions 524 to 776 of the family's 1533-position model. The record is from RNAcentral.
UACAGAGGUCUCGAGCGUUAGGCGGAAUCACUGGGCUUAAAGCGUGUGUAGGCGGAUCGUUAAGUGCCUUGUGAAAUCCCACGGCUCAACCGUGGAACUGCUUGGCAUACUGGCGGUCUUGAGCAACCUAGGGGCGAGCGGAACAAAUGGUGGAGCGGUGAAAUGCGUAGAUAUCGCUUGGAACGCCGAAGGUGAAAACAGGCUGCUGGGGUUGCGCCGACGCUGAGACACGAAAGCCAGGGGAGCAAACGGG